This 253-nucleotide ribosomal RNA is filed under the name uncultured bacterium. RNAcentral describes it as "partial 16S ribosomal RNA". It matches the Rfam family "Bacterial small subunit ribosomal RNA", at positions 524 to 776 of the family's 1533-position model. The record is from RNAcentral.
UACAGAGGUCUCAAGCGUUGUUCGGAUUCAUUGGGCGUAAAGGGUGCGUAGGUGGCGCCAUAAGUCGGGUGUGAAAUCUCGGGGCUUAACUCCGAAACUGCAUUCGAUACUGUGGUGCUUGAGGACUGGAGAGGAGACUGGAAUUCAUGGUGUAGCAGUGAAAUGCGUAGAUAUCGUAAGGAAGACCAGUGGCGAAGGCGGGUCUCUGGACAGUUCCUGACGCUGAAGCACGAAGGCCAGGGGAGCAAACGGG